GUGACAUGAGGCUGCAAUUUACAAUCUUCUUCAAUAACAAUAUACCUACGCCAGCAAAUCUACCUCGCUCCAACUCUCCAAACUCGUACCUGAAGGUUCAACAGUCUUUACCCAGCAUUCUAUGAUUUCUACCCGUGAGCUGUAUAAUAAUGUCUGACUCGGUUCUGAAUUCAUCCAGGAUCUACUAGGGAAAGCCAAACAGUAAAUGCAGAAAGGUUGCUAGAAGCAUAGUGAUUUCAUAGUAAUUUCAGCUCAUAAUCCAGUGUUUUUGAACUAGAUCCAGUGUUGUUUGAUAGCAUAAUAAUUGUAAAGGAAAGUGUAACACGUUUUGGUGCAAAGAUUACAAAAUGAGUAAAAUAAGAUGUAUUCGCCCAUUCAAAGAUAUUCAUUGUUCGAAAGAGCUGCGAUAUCUCACGGAUGGUAUCAUCCAAAAACUAAAAUCAAUUGGAUUUCCCAAGGUAUCCACACUGAAUACCAAAGAUUUUCGUAUUUGUUCGUCUUGCCGUCUACAUAUUGAUUCAAGAGCUCACCGCACCCAAAACGAAGAACAAAGCGUAGCCGGCGGCUCAAGGAUGCCAACUGUUCAGACCAUAUCUGAUGUACCUGAUUCGCAAAGCGUCAACGCUAAGCACAAUUCAAUCAAAUUAAGACUUAACGAUGCCUGAAGACGUUAAAAUAUUCAACCGAGGAAUAGCAGCAAUUUGUGUUUCGCCUAUAGGCGAAUUUGAUAAAAAAUACACAAAUAAAAAUAAACUGAUAAUAUCCAA
Molecule: long non-coding RNA, 767 nt
Organism: Aedes albopictus (Asian tiger mosquito)
Lineage: Eukaryota; Metazoa; Arthropoda; Insecta; Diptera; Culicidae
Exons: 2
Source: RefSeq, a predicted model, not a curated record